Molecule: transfer RNA, 92 nt
Filed under: Sus scrofa (pig)
Lineage: Eukaryota; Metazoa; Chordata; Mammalia; Artiodactyla; Suidae
Rfam family: tRNA
About the family: Transfer RNA (tRNA) molecules are approximately 80 nucleotides in length.
Source: Rfam by way of RNAcentral
UCCCUGGUGGUUCAGUGGGUUAAGGACCUGGCAUUGUCACUGCUAUGGUUCUGGUUACAGCUGUGGCACAGGUUAGAUCCCUGGCCUGGGAA